AGAAACUAAAAAAGAAAAGAAGCCCACCCCGAACGGCACAAAAUAGGAAAAAAGAAAACCCACCCCAUCUUCCCCGUCUUGCCGUCGACGCCCCACAUCCGGCACCCCGCCGCCGGCCACCUGACCUCCCGGCGCCCCGGCUUCUUGACCCGCCGCCAGCCACCUCACCAUGCCCCUGGUUCUUUCCCUGCCACCUCCCUGCGGCCCAACUUCUUUCCUGCCUCCGGCCUCCUCCUCGCGCCCCGGCUUCUUCCCGGCCGCCGGCCUCCUCCUCGCGACCCAGCUUCUUCCCCGCUGCCGGCCUCCUCCUCUCGCCCCGGCUUCUUCCCCGUCGCCGGCCUCCUCCUCUAUCCCCGGCUUCUUCCCCGCCGUCGGCCUCCUCGUCGCGUCUCGGCUUCUUCCCCGCCGGAGCGGCCAACCACAAGAUCCGGUCGCCACAUCCCCAUGACGCCCCCAGCAACGGCGCCCGGACCUCGACACCACCUGGCUCGGGGGACUCCAAGUCCCGGCGCUGCCGACCCCUGCACUACCUCAUCCGGCGACGAUACGCGCCAUCACUCUGCCUCGUUCUGGUGGGGGGUCCAUGCCACUGCGUCAGUCCAAUACUGUCGCCGCAAGCCGGUCACAUCCGCAACGACCAGGCCGGCUGCCCUGCGCCUCAGCCCCCCGUAUGCACGCCACCAAGUGCCUCUGUGCACUACCCCUGCCUCCCCCAUCAGGUUGCAGCCCGAGCCAUACGGUGCCGCAUCUUGUUGAGCUAACUGCCUUGCCGUGGUUCCAGCGGUACACAGGAGGAUGGAUGCCCUGGUGCUGUACGUCCAGUUUUGUCAGGUUUUGAUGGCGAUGCUCUUCUGCUCAUGACGCUGGAGCCCUAGUGCCCCACUACACAUGAAACGAGAGACCUGUACAGAGGUUCACCUAAAAAAAGGCUAGCAGUUCUUCCCAAAGAGACAACAGUUCUAAGAAAAGAAGGUAGGAAAAAAAGGGUAGCUCAACGUACAAAAAAUUGGAGGUUUAGAGACCACAAACAAAGACGAAAACAAUUUCAGUGGCACAAUCAGUUUAGUUUCUAAUUUUAGUUCAGUUCAAUUAUUAUUUUUAGUUCCGUUCAGUUCAAUAUUGUCAAUGAACAGAUACACAUACAAAUAAGAAAUUAUAUUCAUUUAUUUGGUACAGACUUAGUUAUUAUUUUUGGAGACCAGAAAUAUCAGUUCAGUUAUUUUAUCAUUUUGUACCGAUUCCACUCAUUGUAUGAACUGGUGCAUCACCAUGGAAGUAAAAAAAGGAAGGAAACAUCAGUCCAGCUACUAGACGUGGAGGUGAUUUUCUAUCUAAAUAUCCAGCAGGAGCUGCAGCUGGUGAGCGUCUGUGCCCUGCUGAUUGCGUGCAAGUACGAAGAGAUUUGGGCUCCAGAGGUGAACGACUUCAUAUUGUUCUCCGACAACACAUAUACUAGGGAGCAGAUUCUGAGGAUGGAGAAGGCAAUCCUGAACAUGCUUGAGUGGAACCUGACAGUGCCCACACCUUACGUCUUCCUCGUGUGAUUCGCCAAGGCCGCAUCCUACUGAGAUAAGAAGAACGGCAAGGAGAGCACUGUCUUUUUUUUCGUGGAGCUGGCGCUGCUGCAGUAUGGACAGGAAUAGUGUGUUGAUGUCGAGCACAACACAGAGACAAGGUUAGAAAGUUCAACAUGUGAUUGGAAUUCAGUGCGAAAAACUGCAGGGUACAUCCAACGACAACGAGUAGGCGACAAGUGUAUGUGUGAGCAGCCGGAUAGUAGCAUGAAGCAGUUGAGUAGCUGUCCGUGCAUAAGAACUCAGCGUGUGUGGUUGCCAAUGAGCUCUCCUACACAGUGGUCGCCCAUGAAAAAAAGGUUCAUGUCUAGCUACAUGGAGAGUUCCAAAAAACAGAAUUUAGAAAGUCCAAACCUCCAAAGAAAGUUCUUUAACAGUAAAGAAAGCCUUUGUGUUUAUAUAUUUGUGAUUUGAGCUAUGUGAGAGUUCAUAUUGUAAGAUUAUGGUGUUUGUUUUAAAGUUCAAAUUAGUAAAAGCCGUGAGGUUCACACACUGCCACGGUGAAAGUUUGUGAAUUUGGUAUAUAAAAAAGAGAAGUGUUCAUAUUGUA
This is a long non-coding RNA of Triticum urartu, 2124 nucleotides long. RefSeq lists it as uncharacterized. The record is from RefSeq and is a predicted model, not a curated record. Lineage: Eukaryota; Viridiplantae; Streptophyta; Magnoliopsida; Poales; Poaceae.